RNAcentral lists this ribosomal RNA (497 nucleotides) under uncultured bacterium. Its description in RNAcentral is "partial 16S ribosomal RNA". It matches the Rfam family "Bacterial small subunit ribosomal RNA", at positions 28 to 507 of the family's 1533-position model. The record is from RNAcentral.
GAUGAACGCUGGCGGCGUGCCUAAUACAUGCAAGUCGAGCGAACGGACGAGAAGCUUGCUUCUCUGAUGUUAGCGGCGGACGGGUGAGUAACACGUGGAUAACCUACCUAUAAGACUGGGAUAACUUCGGGAAACCGGAGCUAAUACCGGAUAAUAUUUUGAACCGCAUGGUUCAAAAGUGAAAGACGGUCUUGCUGUCACUUAUAGAUGGAUCCGCGCUGCAUUAGCUAGUUGGUAAGGUAACGGCUUACCAAGGCAACGAUGCAUAGCCGACCUGAGAGGGUGAUCGGCCACACUGGAACGGAGACACGGUCCAGACUCCUACGGGAGGCAGCAGUAGGGAAUCUUCCGCAAUGGGCGAAAGCCUGACGGAGCAACGCCGCGUGAGUGAUGAAGGUCUUCGGAUCGUAAAACUCUGUUAUUAGUGAAGAACAUAUGUGUAAGUAACUGUGCACAUCGUGACGGUACCUAAUCAGAAAGCCACGGCUAACUACGUG